Molecule: long non-coding RNA, 641 nt
Filed under: Androctonus crassicauda
Lineage: Eukaryota; Metazoa; Arthropoda; Arachnida; Scorpiones; Buthidae
Source: RNAcentral
UUGUAUAUUUCAUGCCUUCCAGAAAUUUGUGGGUAAAAAAGAAUAAUGUAAAAACAAAGAUUGAAUAUUAAUGUUUUUCUUUGUCUAAGUUUCUGUCGUUGGCUGCAUGAUAAAACAAAUGUUUAUCAUCAUGAAGUAUCUGGGUUCUAUUUAUGGAUGUUACUUAUCGUUUUUCAGGAAGGGUCCAGGCUCAACCAGGCUUGUUGAAUCCCAUCCUUUUAACUUUCUGGUUGAUCUCACCAUAAGUUUUGGACAGUGUGAUGGUUCUAAAACUGGCUGCUACCAAAAGUAUCCAUUGUUAGUUUCAUUUAAACUAACAUAAUAAAGUUUCUAGCAAACAUAGAUGGUUUCCUAAUUAGUCAUUUGACCUAUGAUAAUCCGAUAUUAUGAUUUACCUUUACAAUAUUCUGAAUUUGGUUGUUUUAAUUAUAUAUUAGCUAUAAAUACUUUGUUUUAUUUGAUUGCUUAGGAAAGCAAUUGCCUUCCACCUUGAUGUGGGUUCAGUUCAGGAUUUUAUAUUUUGGAGAAUCUGAUAUUUUGGAGGAUCAGAUUGAUUUUUACCAUCUUGAAGGAUUUGGUAUUCUAUUGUCUAUCAUUACUACUAAAAUUAUUAACAUUGUGGUCAUUUUUGAUUUAUAUCA